GACGAACGCUGGCGGCGUGCUUAACACAUGCAAGUCGAGCGGUAAGGCCCUUUCGGGGGUACGACGAGCGGCGAACGGGUGAGUAACACGUGGGUGACCUGCCCUCAGCUCUGGGAUAAGCCUGGGAAACUGGGUCUAAUACUGGAUAUGACUCCACGGUGCAUGUCGUGGGGUGGAAAGCCUUGUGCGGCUGAGGAUGGGCCCGCGGCCUAUCAGCUUGUUGGUGGGGUGANGGCCUACCAAGGCGACGACGGGUAGCCGGCCUGAGAGGGCGACCGGCCACACUGGGACUGAGACACGGCCCAGACUCCUACGGGAGGCAGCAGUGGGGAAUCUUGCGCAAUGGGCGAAAGCCUGACGCAGCGACGCCGCGUGAGGGAUGACGGCCUCGGUUGUAACGUACUUCUACG
This 410-nucleotide ribosomal RNA is filed under the name uncultured bacterium. Its description in RNAcentral is "bacterial SSU rRNA". It matches the Rfam family "Bacterial small subunit ribosomal RNA", at positions 28 to 437 of the family's 1533-position model. The record is from RNAcentral.